This 23-nucleotide microRNA is filed under the name Homo sapiens (human). RNAcentral's name for it is "hsa-miR-1288-5p". The record is from miRBase by way of RNAcentral. Lineage: Eukaryota; Metazoa; Chordata; Mammalia; Primates; Hominidae.
GCAGAUCAGGACUGUAACUCACC